Molecule: ribosomal RNA, 582 nt
Filed under: uncultured bacterium
Lineage: Bacteria
Description: bacterial SSU rRNA
Rfam family: Bacterial small subunit ribosomal RNA
Source: RNAcentral
CCUACGGGAGGCAGCAGUGGGGAAUUUUGGACAAUGGGCGCAAGCCUGAUCCAGCAAUGCCGCGUGCAGGAUGAAGGCCUUCGGGUUGUAAACUGCUUUUGUACGGAACGAAACGGUCCGCCUUAAUACGGUGGGCUAAUGACGGUACCGUAAGAAUAAGCACCGGCUAACUACGUGCCAGCAGCCGCGGUAAUACGUAGGGUGCAAGCGUUAAUCGGAAUUACUGGGCGUAAAGCGUGCGCAGGCGGUUAUAUAAGACGGAUGUGAAAUCCCCGGGCUCAACCUGGGACCUGCAUUUGUGACUGUAUAGCUAGAGUACGGUAGAGGGGGAUGGAAUUCCGCGUGUAGCAGUGAAAUGCGUAGAUAUGCGGAGGAACACCGAUGGCGAAGGCAAUCCCCUGGACCUGUACUGACGCUCAUGCACGAAAGCGUGGGGAGCAAACAGGAUUAGAUACCCUGGUAGUCCACGCCCUAAACCGAUGUCAACUGGUUGUUGGGUCUUCACUGACUCAGUAACGAGGCUAACGCGUGAAGUUGACCGCCUGGGGAGUACGGCCGCAAGGUUGAACGUUAAGGAAUUGA